RNAcentral lists this long non-coding RNA (423 nucleotides) under Olea europaea (common olive). RNAcentral's name for it is "long non-coding RNA (OEUR_LNC011429)". Lineage: Eukaryota; Viridiplantae; Streptophyta; Magnoliopsida; Lamiales; Oleaceae. The record is from RNAcentral.
UGAUCAAUUCCAAAACUACACACUCUCUCUCUCGUCUCUCUCUAAAAAUACUCUCCUUUUCUUCUUUGGAGAAACAAACUUUAACGUGCGCACUACCACCGGAGAUGAAACAGGCGUCGGAGUACACGAUAAGAAUAUCGAGAUACAGGAGGUGGAAUAAGUAACAAGAAAAGGAGAAAGUUAGCGGACCCCACAUAUUCAAAAAAUGGACGGCCAUAAGAGUCAGACGAAGCUUACUAGGACCAAAUCUUCUAUUCUCCGGUCAUCCCCAACCGUCCGAUCAUCAAUCCAUAGCUUUUCUUCGGUCUGCGAGAUAACGCCUGAUCGAGAGACAGAGGACCUUGAAGAGCAGAAGCCACAUGGCAAUCCAAGUUUGCCACUGGUUCGACCCGGUUCCAGAUUCGGUUUGGCUCCGUUUAUUGC